GUCUACAGCCAUACCACCCUGUACGCGCCCGAGCUUGUCUGAUCUCGGAAGCUAAGCAGGGUCGGGCCUGGUUAGUACUUGGAUGGGAGAAAAGAGACAAGGACUUUGUUGAAU
This 114-nucleotide ribosomal RNA is filed under the name Cercocebus atys (sooty mangabey). The record is from RNAcentral. Lineage: Eukaryota; Metazoa; Chordata; Mammalia; Primates; Cercopithecidae.